AUGGUGUCCAACGGGGAGCUGUCGCAGCCGCAGGCGGGGGAGUACGGCCUCGCCGUGAUGCGCCGCCGGCCCAAGACCAAGAUCGUCUGCACGCUCGGUCCGGCCUCGCGCUCCGUCGACAUGAUCGAGAAGCUGCUGCGCGCCGGCAUGUGCGUCGCCCGCUUCAACUUCUCCCACGGCUCCCACGACUACCACCAGGAGACGCUCGACAACCUGCACGCCGCCAUGGAGCGCACGGGCAUCCUCUGCGCCGUCAUGCUCGACACCAAGGGUCCAGAGAUCCGUACUGGAUUUUUGAAAGAUGGGAAGCCUAUCCAGUUGAGAAAGGGCCAAGAAAUUGUGAUCUCCACAGAUUAUAGCAUAAAGGGGGACGACAAGAUGAUAUCGAUGAGCUAUAAGAAGCUAGCAGUUGAUCUGAAGCCAGGCAGUGUCAUAUUAUGCGCUGAUGGUACCAUCACUCUUACUGUGCUUCAUUGUGACAAAGAGCAAGGUCUUGUUCGCUGCUGUUGUGAGAACACUGCUAUGCUUGGUGAGAGGAAGAAUGUCAAUCUUCCAGGGGUCGUUGUUGAUCUCCCAACACUCACUGAAAAGGACAAGGAGGAUAUCCUUCAAUGGGGUGUCCCGAACAAGAUUGACAUGAUUGCUUUGUCGUUUGUCCGCAAAGGUUCAGAUCUUGUGGAGGUCAGGAAGGUACUUGGGGAGCAUGCUAAGUCAAUAAUGCUGAUGUCAAAGGUUGAGAACCAGGAAGGAGUAGCUAACUUUGACGAUAUCCUGGCACAGUCUGAUGCUUUUAUGGUGGCAAGAGGUGAUUUGGGGAUGGAAAUUCCUGUAGAGAAGAUCUUUUAUGCACAGAAGGUGAUGAUUUUCAAGUGCAACAUUCAGGGCAAGCCAGUUGUGACCGCAACUCAGAUGUUGGAGUCUAUGAUCAAGUCUCCUCGCCCUACUCGAGCUGAAGCAACCGAUGUUGCCAAUGCAGUUCUUGAUGGCACUGACUGUGUCAUGCUCAGUGGUGAGACAGCUGCUGGAGCUUAUCCAGAACUGGCAGUGCAAACUAUGGCCAAGAUCUGCUUGCAGGCCGAGUCAUGUGUGGACUAUUCUGCUGUUUUUAAGUCAAUCAUGUCAUCAGCCCCAAUUCCCAUGAGCCCAUUGGAGAGCCUUGCCUCAUCAGCUGUCCGCACAGCGAACUCAGCCAAGGCGACGCUUAUCUUGGUACUGACCAGGGGAGGAACAACUGCAAGGCUUGUAGCCAAGUAUAGGCCAUCCAUGCCGAUACUGUCUGUCGUGGUUCCUGAGCUCAAGACGGUCGAGUUUGACUGGAUCUGCAGCGACGAGGGGCCUGCCAGGCAAAGCCUUAUCGUGAGGGGUGUGAUCCCUAUGCUGAGUGCUGGCACUGCCAAGGCGUUUGACAGCGAAGCCACGGAAGAGGCGCUGAGGUUUGCCAUGAAGAACGCCAAGGAGAUGGGGCUUUGCAACGCUGGUGAGUCCAUUGUGGCCCUUCACCGCAUCGGGAAUGCAUCUGUCAUCAAGCUCUUGACCGUGUAA
RNAcentral lists this ribosomal RNA (1542 nucleotides) under Triticum aestivum (bread wheat). RNAcentral describes it as "partial small subunit ribosomal RNA". The record is from RNAcentral. Lineage: Eukaryota; Viridiplantae; Streptophyta; Magnoliopsida; Poales; Poaceae.